RNAcentral lists this ribosomal RNA (496 nucleotides) under uncultured bacterium. RNAcentral's name for it is "partial 16S ribosomal RNA". It matches the Rfam family "Bacterial small subunit ribosomal RNA", at positions 29 to 507 of the family's 1533-position model. The record is from RNAcentral.
AUGCACGCUGGCGGCGUGCCUCAUACAUGCAAGUCGCGCGAACGGACGAGAAGCUUGCUUCUCUGAUGUUAGCGGCGGACGGGUGAGUAACACGUGGAUAACCUACCUAUAAGACUGGGAUAACUUCGGGAAACCGGAGCUAAUACCGGAUAAUAUUUUGAACCGCAUGGUUCAAAAGUGAAAGACGGUCUUGCUGUCACUUAUAGAUGGAUCCGCGCUGCAUUAGCUAGUUGGUAAGGUAACGGCUUACCAAGGCAACGAUGCAUAGCCGACCUGAGAGGGUGAUCGGACACACUGGAACUGAGACACGGUCCAGACUCCUACGGGAGGCAGCAGUAGGGAAUCUUACGCAAUGGGCGAAAGCCUGACGGAGCAAAGCGGCGUGAGUGAUGAAGGUCUUCGGAUCGUAAAACUCUGUUAUUAGGGAAGAACAUAUGUGUAAGUAACUGUGCACAUCUUGACGGUACCUAAUCAGAAAGCCACGGCUAACUACGUG